RNAcentral lists this ribosomal RNA (468 nucleotides) under uncultured bacterium. RNAcentral's name for it is "partial 16S ribosomal RNA". It matches the Rfam family "Bacterial small subunit ribosomal RNA", at positions 28 to 507 of the family's 1533-position model. The record is from RNAcentral.
GACGAACGCUGGCGGCGUGCUUAACACAUGCAAGUCGAACGGAAAGGCCCUGCUUUUGUGGGGUGCUCGAGUGGCGAACGGGUGAGUAACACGUGAGUAACCUGCCCUUGACUUUGGGAUAACUUCAGGAAACUGGGGCUAAUACCGGAUAGGAGCUCCUGCUGCAUGGUGGGGGUUGGAAAGUUUCGGCGGUUGGGGAUGGACUCGCGGCUUAUCAGCUUGUUGGUGGGGUAGUGGCUUACCAAGGCUUUGACGGGUAGCCGGCCUGGGAGGGUGACCGGCCACAUUGGGACUGAGAUACGGCCCAGACGCCUACGGGAGGCAGCAGUGGGGAAUAUUGCACAAUGGGCGGAAGCCUGAUGCAGCAACGCCGCGUGCAGGAUGACGGCCUUCGGGUUGUAAACCGCUUUCGCCUGUGACGAAGCGUGAGUGACGGUAAUGGGUAAAGAAGCACCGGCUAACUACGUG